RNAcentral lists this long non-coding RNA (673 nucleotides) under Heterocephalus glaber (naked mole-rat). Its description in RNAcentral is "lncRNA (ENSHGLG00100030724.2)". The record is from RNAcentral. Lineage: Eukaryota; Metazoa; Chordata; Mammalia; Rodentia; Bathyergidae.
AUCUGCAACAGCUACACGAUGACCUAGAAGUGCUAGUGGUCUGAAUGAAGAGACUCGGAGUGGGGCAUGGGGGGGAAUAGAAGCAGGCAGAGUCUAAACUAGUGAAGAGGUAGCAUGCCCAGAAUUUGGUGAUUAAUUAGGUGAAAGGAUAAAAGAGAAUAAAAGUCAAGUGAAGAGUGAUCAGGUUUCCAGCUUGGACAACUGGAGAGAAGCCAAAGCAAUGGGCAGCUUCCCUCUCCGCUCUUCAUGUACCUACUAUGCUUCAAAGAGCAGAUUGGAAGCCUAGAGCCUGGGAGCACAGCCCUGUGGAAGGCCAACGAUGCUCAGUGAAGAGUGACAACAGGCAGGUGGCAGAGGGAAUCGAGCCGUACGCAUGUCUCUGCCAGCUCCUGGGUUGGCAUGCCAUUGCAGACUGGCAAAGUGGAGCUGUGAAGACGUACCUGGCACAUGGCUAUGCUCAGAAAAUGUCAGGUGAGCUGAGGGGUGUGAUUGUCUGUGUGUGGAUCUCUCCAUAACAACCAGGCAAACGAGACAAUCCAGCUGUUCUGAGCAGUUUGACUGGAAGUGGCUUCCCAGAAAACCUCAGCAAUGGGAAAUGGGACCCAAAAAUCUAUAUGUGAACAAUUCCAGAGGUGACUCUGAAACAGCUAGAACUGGGGACUGCUGAUCCGGC